CCUACGGGGGGCAGCAGUGGGGAAUAUUGCGCAAUGGGCGAAAGCCUGACGCAGCGACGCCGCGUGAGGGAUGAAGGUCUUCGGAUCGUAAAACUCUGUCAGCAGGGAAGAACGGUCACUUUGCUAAUCAGCAGUGAAUUGACGGUACCUGCAAAGGAAGCACCGGCUAACUCCGUGCCAGCAGCCGCGGUAAUACGGAGGGGGCGAGCGUUAAUCGGAAUUACUGGGCGUAAAGCGCUCGUAGGCGGUCUGUCAAGUCAGGGGUGAAAUCCCCGGGCUCAACGUGGGAACUGCCUUUGAAACUGGCAAACUGGAGUGUGUGAGAGGAUAGUGGAAUUCCAGGUGUAGGAGUGAAAUCCGUAGAUAUCUGGAGGAACAUCAGUGGCGAAGGCGACUAGCUGGAACAUAACUGACGCUGAGGAGCGAAAGCGUGGGUAGCAAACAGGAUUAGAUACCCUGGUAGUC
RNAcentral lists this ribosomal RNA (465 nucleotides) under uncultured bacterium. RNAcentral's name for it is "partial 16S ribosomal RNA". It matches the Rfam family "Bacterial small subunit ribosomal RNA", at positions 338 to 795 of the family's 1533-position model. The record is from RNAcentral.